Molecule: unclassified non-coding RNA, 1317 nt
Filed under: Hevea brasiliensis (rubber tree)
Lineage: Eukaryota; Viridiplantae; Streptophyta; Magnoliopsida; Malpighiales; Euphorbiaceae
Source: RNAcentral
UGAGGAUGAUGGAAUUAUCAUCUGGGAUGUUACCAUAAAACAUUACAAAUUUCCGGAAAAGAUAUUUCAGCAAACCAGCUUAUAAGAAUUCAACACAUUUCUAUAAUUAAAUUAUCCAGAUUUUCAUAAACCAGAAAGAAACCAGCAAAUUAAGAAAGAACAAAUUCAAUUUUCAUGGCAUCUCAAGUGCUAAAACUAAAAGCCAAUGCCGCAAAGAUGUCAGCGCCAAUUUACUAUUUUCUUAGCUCCAAACUCCUGGUCAAUGUAUUUCUAAGUCCAACAGUAUAGUUGGCCUCAUGACACUCUGGUCUUUCGUCCCAUAGAAAAUAAACAAAAGAAAAAAAGCAAUAAACAAAAGUCCAGAACGAUAGAUAUUUUGUUCCAAGAGCAAACAGGAAUAUAGCAUCCAUGAUCAAAGCAACAAAUGGUAAUGCUGCAAUGAGAUUAUCAUUAUGUAAUAACAUUGAUGUAUGCUGAAGGCCCCAGGCAUCAAUAAAUUGGAGAUUUGAGUCACCAAAAGUUCAUCCAUGAAUAACGUAUUGGUCAUAUAAAAUCCAAAAGCUUCAUUCAAGGCUCUAGAAAAUGUUCUUUGUGAAAACUGCAAUGAAAUGACAACCCGAACUAAGACCUAAAGAGGGCAUAUUUGAAGCGAUAAAGUAAUCUCUUUUCAGAAAUUAUACAUUUCUAAGAAUGAUUUUGGGCUAUGAUAAAUCCAGAAACAGCAAUGAAACAAAAACAGUGCAAAAUUGAGGUAAUAUCCAAGUAAUAAACCACAGGAUUAUAGUAUCAUCACCCAUCAAACUGUACAAAGAACAUCAUAUUGCUACACUUAAAAGAUGAAAUAACCCACAUAAUAUCCAGUCAUGAGAACAUAUAAGCCCUAGAAAGGAACUAGCCAAUAAAGAAGAGUUUAAUCACAACUGGACUACUCAAAAAGGGGAAUACAACAAGCACUGAAUAAGUGUAAUAUUAUUAAGCACACAAAGAGAGUAUGGCAACAGAGGAAGAGAUUACCACAGAGAGGACAGCGAGAAAGAGGACAAAAACGGUGAGAAUGGGAGAGAAGUCGCCGUUGGGAGGCGGCGGACGAGCCUGUGGAGCUGCAGCUGCUGUAGCGUGUUGUUGAUCCAUGGAGGGUAAAAGUUCCUCUGUCAAAAUGGAGAUGGAGCACUAAUAGAGAAAUCGGAUGGAUUGAUACAACCCGUACUAUUGAAUCGUGACCGUUGGAUGGAGUGUAAAAUAGGCUCGGAAACACCCUAGUCGUUUCGUGGGGGUCUUCGUUGUAUGUAUCAUUAAUAUUCGCUGCUUCAACGAAGA